Molecule: long non-coding RNA, 1530 nt
Organism: Prionailurus viverrinus (fishing cat)
Lineage: Eukaryota; Metazoa; Chordata; Mammalia; Carnivora; Felidae
Exons: 4
Source: RefSeq, a predicted model, not a curated record
CGGGGCCGAGCCUGUCGGGGAGGCCGGAAGGCGGCGGCGAGUGGGCCGAAGUUGGCUGCACCUUGGCCCAUCAACUGAGGUCCAGCAGUGCGUCUGACAGCUACCAUCGUGGUGAAGCCGCAAAGAGCAGAAGCCGUAUCUUAAGCUUACUACACGGUGAGUGCAGCUGCAGCCCAGAGGGCAGACUGUCUGCCAGCGAAGCGGCCGUGACCUGGCUGCGUGUCAGAGGGAUGUCCACACUUGCCCUGUGAAUGUCCCCAGAGCUCAUCUAGAUUCAAUGUCCCCGCUCUUCUGUUUUACCGCCCACUCCGUCCUGGACCAGCUGCAGCGUUCUGAAUCGGUGCCGUAACCAGAUGCCCAAACUGUGGCCUCCGUGGGGCCAAAGGCCAGCUUUCUCAAAGACUCAGCAGUGGCUGUGCCACCACCGUCGUCAGUCUUAUCCCUGCAGCCCCCAAACACCCUCCGUGUGCCGAUGUGCUGAUGACCACCUUUGCAGAACUCCAGUCCAAGAGCUCCGGACCCUACCCACCUUCCUAAAUGAUGUUCGUCUUGCGUACUGAAGUGGCAUCUCCAACUUGCAGAAAUACCGAUUACAGAAAUACUGCUAAAACUCUCCUUCAGCCUGCCCGGCCCCGACUUCCUUCACGGGUCAGCCGUGGCUCCGACAACAGAGCUCCGCUUCUGCCCGCGCAUCCAAUUCGUGUCUGCUCCCUCUCUUACCUCCCCUCUGACCCCCUCCCUGCCUCCAUCGUCCGGCCUCUGGGAAACCACAGCCUCCUCCCCAAAGCUGCUGUCCUUCCUCCGCGUGGCGGCCAGAGUGAGCCUUGGAAAAGACCCCUCUUCAGGAGACACAAGCGUUCACUGGUUUCCUGCUUUGCUUGGAAUAAAACGCCACCAUGCCACCACCCCACCACGCCAGCCCCCUGCUUCUCCUUGGAAUUCCUUCCUGGGGCCUUCAGGGCCUGCCUCCUCACUCACUCAUCUCACUCCUCCAGGAAGCCCUCUCUGACCACUGCCACACCUCUCUGCUCACUCUGGAAGUGCCUAGUGUGCAGUUUUAAGCCCCGCUGGGACCCAGGCUCCUUGAGGACAAGCCCUCCGAUUUGGUUUGUACUUUUCAAUCCCCCAGCACCUAGAACAAUGCCCAGCACACAGAGCUCAACUGUUGUUUGCCGACGGGCUCCUGAAGUGAUGGAGCAAAUUUAUCAGUGAAGGAUACGUUUGUGAGCACUGGGAACCCUCCCAGCACAGCCAGACCUGCCUGCCUGUGGUCUCUUGACAGUUUUAAAAAAAAUUCUCGAAUGCUGCCCUCCCCAUCAAUCAACCUCAUGAGCUGGUCCUGUUUAACUCCCUUCCCUGCUAGCCUGCCACAGGCUGAGAGACAAACACCUCCCUCGUCCCCAUUUGUCCCCUGCGAUGUCAGACCUGCAGGAGUGGGAAGGGCUUGUGUGCUAACUCAUCUCUGCAGGGAGACGUAAAAUUUGCCCAUAAAUAAAACCUUCUGUCGUUCAGCUCGAACGUUAAAUUUCA